GGGGGUGACUGGAAUUGAUUGGCAUCAGUCGAUUAGUGUCAGCACGUCGAGCCUGAGUUAAGCUCGUAAAAUCUGAUUCAUUUUUUUAACUGGCAAAACAAUUGCUAAGUUGGCGACUUUAGGACUUGUCCGUGAAACGUCAACAGUGGCUGUAUCGUAACUAAGUUACGAAAUAGCUCCAUCUCUUCUAAAGAAUUUAAGAUUUGUGUCUUUAGUUUUUGAGGUGUCAAAUAGACAAAUCGAACCCGGUAAUAAUUGUUCCACCGGAAAGUUGGAGAACAGUUGCGAAGGUCCCGAAAGUUGUUUAUUCUAUACGGACAUUCAAAGAGAAAUGAAUAAACUAAACGUGUAGGAUAGAUAUUAGUAGAAGAUGAACAAGACGGGGGUUCGAUACCCCCCACCUCCACCA
This 409-nucleotide transfer-messenger RNA is filed under the name bacterium. It matches the Rfam family "transfer-messenger RNA". Rfam says of the family: Bacterial tmRNA, also known as 10Sa RNA or SsrA, is named for its dual tRNA and mRNA-like properties. Its role is to liberate the mRNA from a stalled ribosome. The record is from RNAcentral.